Molecule: ribosomal RNA, 1409 nt
Filed under: uncultured bacterium
Lineage: Bacteria
Description: 16S ribosomal RNA
Rfam family: Bacterial small subunit ribosomal RNA
Source: RNAcentral
AGAGUUUGAUCCUGGCUCAGAAUGAAUUCUGGCGGCGUGCCUAACACAUGCAAGUCGUACGAGAAAGACUGUUUUCGGAUGGUCGAGUAAAGUGGCGCACGGGUGAGUAACGCGUAGGUAACCUACCCUUGUAUUGGGGAUAACAGGACGAAAGUUCUGCUAAUACCGGAUGUGACCUGGGGCUGGAGGGUUUCAGGUUAAAGUGGGCCUCUCGAAGAAGCUCAUGUACAGGGAUGGGCCUGCGUCCUAUCAGCUUGUUGGUGGGGUAAUGGCCUACCAAGGCGACGACGGGUAGCUGGUCUGAGAGGAUGAUCAGCCACACUGGCACUGGAACACGGGCCAGACUCCUACGGGAGGCAGCAGUGAGGAAUUUUGCGCAAUGGGAGCAAUCCUGACGCAGCAACGCCGCGUGGGUGAAGAAGGCCUUCGGGUCGUAAAGCCCUGUCAGGUGGGAAGAAGGGUCCUAUCAGGAAAGGGGUGGGAUUUGACGGUACCACCAGAGGAAGCACCGGCUAACUCUGUGCCAGCAGCCGCGGUAAUACGGAGGGUGCGAGCGUUAUUCGGAAUUACUGGGCGUAAAGCGCGUGUAGGCGGGGGAGCAAGUCUGAUGUGAAAGCCCCGGGCUUAACCCGGGAAGUGCAUUGGAAACUGUUUUUCUUGAGUACUGGAGAGGAAGGGGGAAUUCCCGGUGUAGAGGUGAAAUUCGUAGAGAUCGGGAGGAAUACCAGUGGCGAAGGCGCCCUUCUGGACGGUUACUGACGCUGAGACGCGAAAGCGUGGGGAGCAAACAGGAUUAGAUACCCUGGUAGUCCACGCUGUAAACGAUGAGCACUAGGUGUAGCGGGUACUCAUUCCUGCUGUGCCGCAGCUAACGCGUUAAGUGCUCCGCCUGGGGACUACGGUCGCAAGACUAAAACUCAAAGGAAUUGACGGGGCCCCGCACAAGCGGUGGAUGAUGCGGUUUAAUUCGUUGCUACGCGAAGAACCUUACCUGGGUUUGACAUGUACGUGGUACGGAUCCGAAAGGUGAAGGACCGGGGUUUUCCCCGGAGCGUACACAGGUGCUGCACGGCUGUCGUCAGCUCGUGCCGUGAGGUGUUGGGUUAAGUCCCGCAACGAGCGCAACCCCUGCCGAUAGUUGCCAUCAAGUCAUGCUGAGCACUCUAUCGGGACCGCCUGGGUUAACCAGGAGGAAGGUGGGGAUGACGUCAAGUCAUCGUGGCCUUUAUACCCAGGGCGACACGCGUCAUACAGUGGCUGUUACAACGGGCUGCAACACCGCGAGGUGAAGCUAAUCCCUUAAAGGCAGCCAUGGUUCGGAUUGCAGGCUGCAACUCGCCUGCAUGAAGAUGGAAUCGCUAGUAAUCGCAGAUCAGCCAUGCUGUGGUGAAUGCGUUCUCGGGGCUUGU